CAGAGUAUCAUGCCCUUCGGGGUAGAUCUCCCACCCUGUGUAUUAUAUACCUUUUGUUGCUUUGGCGGGCCGCCUCGGCCACCGGCUCCGGCUGGUGCGUGCCCGCCAGAGGACCCCAAACUCUGAAUGUUAGUGUCGUCUGAGUACUAUCUAAUAGUUA
This 160-nucleotide unclassified non-coding RNA is filed under the name uncultured Pseudaegerita. RNAcentral's name for it is "sequence contains ITS1". The record is from RNAcentral. Lineage: Eukaryota; Fungi; Ascomycota; Leotiomycetes; Helotiales; Hyaloscyphaceae.